RNAcentral lists this ribosomal RNA (133 nucleotides) under uncultured bacterium. RNAcentral describes it as "partial 16S ribosomal RNA". It matches the Rfam family "Bacterial small subunit ribosomal RNA", at positions 395 to 535 of the family's 1533-position model. The record is from RNAcentral.
CGCCGCGUGAGUGAUGACGGUCUUCUGGAUUGUAAAGCUCUGUCUUUAGGGACGAUAAUGACGGUACCUAAGGAGGAAGCCACGGCUAACUACGUGCCAGCCGCCGCGGUAAUGUGCCAGCCGCCGCGGUAAU